GACGGAGGAUGCAAGCGUUAUCCGGAAUGAUUGGGCGUAAAGCGUCCGCAGGUGGCAGUUCAAGUCUGCUGUCAAAGACCGGGGCUUAACUUCGGAAAGGCAGUGGAAACUGAACAGCUAGAGUAUGGUAGGGGCAGAGGGAAUUCCUGGUGUAGCGGUGAAAUGCGUAGAGAUCAGGAAGAACAUCGGUGGCGAAGGCAGUUCUCUGGGCCGUAACUGACGCUGAGGAGCGAAAGCGUGGGGAGCGAACAGG
Molecule: ribosomal RNA, 253 nt
Filed under: uncultured bacterium
Lineage: Bacteria
Description: partial 16S ribosomal RNA
Rfam family: Bacterial small subunit ribosomal RNA
Source: RNAcentral